AUCUGGUUGAUCCUGCCAGUAGUCAUACGCUCGUCUCAAAGAUUAAGCCAUGCAUGUGUAAGUAUAAAUAAUUUUACUUUGAAACUGCGAAUGGCUCAUUAUAUCAGUUAUAGUUUAUUAGAAAUACUUUACUACUUGGAUAACCGUAGUAAUUCUAGGGCUAAUACAUGAAUGAAUCCUCAACUUCGGAAGAGGUGUGUUUAUUAGUAUGAAAACCAUCUAUCUUCGGAUAUAAUAGUGAGUAAUAAUAACCUUUCAUAUCGUAUGUCGUAAGAUAACGAUAGUUCUUUCAAGUUUCUGCCCUAUCAGCUUUCGAUGGUAGUAUAUGGGACUACCAUGGCAGUAACGGGUAACGAAGAAUUUGGGUUCGAUUUCGGAGAGGGAGCCUGAGAGAUGGCUACCACAUCCAAGGAAGGCAGCAGGCGCGUAAAUUACCCAAUCCUGACAUAGGGAGGUAGUGACAAUAAAUCACAAUGCGGAACUUUUUAGUUUUGCAAUUGGAUUGAGAACAAUGUACAAAUGUUAUCGAUAAACAAUUGGAGGGCAAGUCUGGUGCCAGCAGCCGCGGUAAUUCCAGCUCCAAUAGCGUAUAUUAACGUUGUUGCAGUUAAAAAGCUC
RNAcentral lists this ribosomal RNA (618 nucleotides) under Blastocystis sp. subtype 5. RNAcentral describes it as "SSU rRNA". It matches the Rfam family "Eukaryotic small subunit ribosomal RNA", at positions 1 to 629 of the family's 1831-position model. Lineage: Eukaryota; Bigyra; Opalinata; Blastocystidae. The record is from RNAcentral.